GUAUUUAUAUACUUGGACCCCCUUAUACCAAGGUCAGGGUUUUGUGUAGGGCCCAUUUUGUCCUACAAAAAGCACCCAAAGGAUGCAAAUUUGUGUAGGACCCAAAGAGCUUCUAAUAGAGUAGAGGUCUGAGGAUAGGAGAGUUGUUUUUUGUUUGUUUGUUUGUUGUUGUUUGUUUUUGUUUUUAAUUUUUGUUUUUAAUUUUCAACAGAAAGACAGUCAAGGAGGGGAUAAGGGAAAGAAUCAAGCCACCACUUGACCAGCCUGGGGAAGUGAUUUGACUGUGAGGCACGUGUGGUGAAAGUUUACAAUCAUGUCUCCAGCACAUAAGAAAGCAGACUGGGAAAAUAGAGAAGAAGGGUACAGUGACUUCUCCAAAAUCAAGUAAGACAACAGCUGAGGACCAAAUCCCCAUCUUCUUAGUAUUGAGUCAUCCUUUGUCUACUGGAAUUCAUUGCAAUAUAAAUUUAUGUAAGUUUAUUUAAACAAACUUUUAGCAACUUGUACUCCUACUCCUACACAAACUGCAAAGAAAAAAUAAAUAAAUAAAAAGCAGAUUAAGGAGUAAAGA
RNAcentral lists this long non-coding RNA (571 nucleotides) under Anas platyrhynchos platyrhynchos (common mallard). RNAcentral's name for it is "lncRNA (ENSAPLG00000029363.1)". Lineage: Eukaryota; Metazoa; Chordata; Aves; Anseriformes; Anatidae. The record is from RNAcentral.